Molecule: ribosomal RNA, 497 nt
Filed under: uncultured bacterium
Lineage: Bacteria
Description: partial 16S ribosomal RNA
Rfam family: Bacterial small subunit ribosomal RNA
Source: RNAcentral
GAUGAACGCUGGCGGCGUGCCUAAUACAUGCAAGUCGAGCGAACAGACGAGGCGCUUGCUCCUCUGACGUUAGCGGCGGACGGGUGAGUAACACGUGGAUAACCUACCUAUCAUACUGGGAUAACUUCGGGAAACCGGAGCUAAUACCGGAUAAUAUAUUGAACCGCAUUGUUCAAUGGUGAAAGACGGUUUUGCUGUCUCUUAUAGAUGGAUCCGCGCCGCAUUGGCUAGUUGGGCAGGUAACGGCUUACCAAGGCAACGAUGCGUAGCCGAACUGAGAGGGGGAUCGGCCACCCUGGAACGUGGCCGCGGACCAGGCUACUACGGGAGGCAGCAGAAGGGAAUGGUCCGCAAUGGGCGAAAGCCUGACGGAGUAACGGCGAGUGAGUGAUGAAGGUCUUCGGAGCGUAAAACCCUGUUACUAGUGAAGAACAAAUGUGGAAGUAACUAUGGACGUCUUGACGGUACCGAAUAAGAAAGCAACGGCUAACUACGUG